UACGAAGGGAGCUAGCGUUGUUCGGAAUUACUGGGCGUAAAGGGCGUGUAGGCGGUACCAUAAGUCAGAUGUGAAAGCCCCAGGCUUAACCUGGGAGGUGCAUUUGAUACUGUGGAACUAGAGAUCGAGAGAGGAAAGUGGAAUUACGAGUGUAGAGGUGAAAUUCGUAGAUAUUCGUAAGAACACCAGUGGCGAAGGCGACUUUCUGGCUCGAUACUGACGCUAAGGCGCGGAAGCGUGGGGAGCAAACAGG
This 253-nucleotide ribosomal RNA is filed under the name uncultured bacterium. RNAcentral's name for it is "partial 16S ribosomal RNA". It matches the Rfam family "Bacterial small subunit ribosomal RNA", at positions 524 to 776 of the family's 1533-position model. The record is from RNAcentral.